Molecule: ribosomal RNA, 253 nt
Filed under: uncultured bacterium
Lineage: Bacteria
Description: partial 16S ribosomal RNA
Rfam family: Bacterial small subunit ribosomal RNA
Source: RNAcentral
UACGUAUGGUGCAAGCGUUAUCCGGAAUGACUGGGUGUAAAGGGGGCGUAGACGGUUGUACAAGUCUGAUGUGAAAGCCCACGGCUCAACUGUGGGAGUGCAUUGGAAACUGUAGAACUAGAGUAUCGGAGAGGCAAGUGGAAUUCCUAGUGUAGCGGUGAAAUGCGUAGAUAUUAGGAGGAACACCAGUGGCGAAGGCGGCUUGCUGGACGAAAACUGGCGUUGAGGCUCGAAAGCGUGGGGAGCAAACAGG